UACAGAGGGUGCGAGCGUUGUCCGGAAUCACUGGGCGUAAAGGGCGCGUAGGUGGCGAGCCAAGUCCAUGGUGAAAGCUCGAUGCUCAACAUCGAGUCGGCCACGGAUACUGGUGCGCUUGAGCACUGUAGAGGCUAAUGGAAUUCCGGGUGUAGCGGUGGAAUGCGUAGAGAUCCGGAAGAACACCGGUAGCGAAGGCGGUUAGCUGGGCAGUUGCUGACACUGAGGCGCGACAGCGUGGGGAGCAAACAGG
This 253-nucleotide ribosomal RNA is filed under the name uncultured bacterium. RNAcentral describes it as "partial 16S ribosomal RNA". It matches the Rfam family "Bacterial small subunit ribosomal RNA", at positions 524 to 776 of the family's 1533-position model. The record is from RNAcentral.